Molecule: RNA transcript, 2244 nt
Organism: Solenopsis invicta (red fire ant)
Lineage: Eukaryota; Metazoa; Arthropoda; Insecta; Hymenoptera; Formicidae
Gene: Cog6
Gene name: conserved oligomeric Golgi complex subunit 6
Exons: 9
Source: RefSeq, a predicted model, not a curated record
ACGUGUACCAUUUGACAUACCUUCGUUGACAUUCCUGCAUAGGUUAUGUGCCACUAAUAAACUCAGAUAAACUUCAAGACUCAAGUCUGCGAUGAAUUGUAAAGCUUGGUACUGGGACCUUAAUUGAAUAAGGUCGGAAAUCAAAAAUUGGAGUAAGAGGAAGAGUUCGUGAUGAGUGAGAAAAACAUUAAUUCUGCUCUGGUGCGGAGGGUCAACAAAUUGCUGGAGUCCAGGGUGGAGCAUAAGGACACGCUGGAAGCUUUGAAGGAGUUGUCAACAUUUUUUACCGAAAACACGUUGAAUUCCCGUCGAAAUUUGCGUAGCAAGAUAGAGAGAAGGAGCCUGGCGAUAAACGAAGAAUUUCUGGCAACCUUCAAGGAGGUAAAGGAUUCCUUGGACGACGUUUAUCAAAAUGUUCUAGCAAUGAACACAGCUGUACAGUCUAUGACUAAUCGCUUGCAAGUUACAAAGGCUCAAACAUCACAACUGAUUGAGCAGACUACAAAGCUUCAAAGUGAAAGUCAAGUAUUAUCCAUGCAGCAGGAAGUAGCAAGUGCAUUUAUCAAAAAUUUUCAAUUGACACCAUCUGAAUUGACAGUUUUACAUGGAUCAGCCAGGGAGUCGCCUAUAACAGAGGAAUUUUUUUUUACAAUUAAUAAAGUGCAGGAUAUUCAUGGUAAAUGCAGAGUACUGAUGCAGUCUGGUUAUCAGACGUUGGCUCUGGAUAUCAUGCAAAGAAUGACACUUUUGCAAGAAUCUGCACUUGAACGGUUAUAUCGAUGGACGCAAACACAAUGUAAAAACAUAGAAAAUGAACGUCUGGCGCCAUUGCUCAUUAAGGCCAUGAAUAAACUACAAGAUAGGCCAGUGUUAUUUAAGUAUAUUCUGGAUGAAUAUUGUGUAGCUAGAAGAACUGCUUUGGUCGGAUCCUUCAUAGAUGCACUGACGUUAGGUGAAAGUUUUGGUGGAACACCUAAUCCUAUAGAAAUGCACGCCAAUGAUCCCAAGCGAUAUGUUGGUGAUAUGCUUGCAUGGCUGCAUCAAGUGAUUCCUGUGGAGAAAGAGAAUAUUCUUAUUUUAGUGAAAGGCUGUGAUAAGACAGAUGUGUCGGAUCAGGUGAAACAGGCGUUAAGUAACAUUACGGAAGGAUUAUGUCAUCCUUUAAAAUCAAGAAUAGAGCAUGUUAUAUCUACAGAGGCACCAGCGACAGUAUUAUACUCAGUUACAACAUUAAUCAGAUUUUAUCGCGCUAUUACUGAACAGGUCAUACCUGACAGUGUUUUGGAUCAGACAUUAUCAGAUUUAUUAACUUUGAGCGAAAAGAGUUUUCUAAGCAGGCUGCAGAGAGAAACGAGAAUCGCUCUCGGAGAGCGCGCGGAGCCUCCUGGAAAUGAUUUGGUCCCUGCUCCAUCAGUCUCUAGAUUAUUGUCACUUCUAAAUGAAAUAUUGUCCGUCGCCAGUAUAGCUGAAGACAGGGAAAAAGAUAUGUUACAGAUUGUGUCAUGUAUCAUUGAUCCAUUACUUCAAGAAGUUAAUGAAACAGCAUCCAGAUUGCCAACGGUAGAUAUGGCCGUUUAUCUUCUUAAUUGUAUGCAUCAGAUACAAUCGACGCUGGCAUUGUACGAGUACAUGGAUCAGAGAUUAGAAAGGUUACAGGUGAUUGGCACAAUCGGACGCACAAAUCGACACGCUUACAUCGGAGCAGGCUAGUUCUUUGGUAGCGCAUUUAAAUCUUGGGUCAAUUUACACUAUUCUGCAAGGACGCGAUCAGGGCCCACUCUCAUCCAUACCCGGCAUGGAUGCCCUUAGCGUGAAAGAGUUCACUAAUAAACUGGAAGCAUUUCUAGUGAUGCCGGACGUCCUGCUGCUACCGCAAAUAAGUUUGUUGCAGAGCAACAAUCAUCGGGUGAUUACCCAAAAACGAUCGUUCCAAGUGAUCGGGGCUAUAUAUAGGCAGUUGUACGAUGCCUGUCACGACCCGAAGAAUUUAUAUCAAAACCCCAGCGGUCUCUUUUCUAGAACACCCGAGGAUCUUCUUCAAACACUAAUUUCUCAAUAAUUUUAUCUAUAGACUUUCAAAGACAUCGUAUAUAUAUUUAUAAAUAUACAUAUUAUAUGUACAUAUUUAACAGAUAAUGAAGUAUACAAAAAUGAGCAUACUUGAUUCUUUAUAAACAUAAAAUAUGUUGAACUUAAAUGUUUUCAACUCGUGGAAUGUGAUUUAUUAAACGGUAGAUUUAUAUA